This 251-nucleotide ribosomal RNA is filed under the name uncultured prokaryote. RNAcentral's name for it is "partial 16S ribosomal RNA". It matches the Rfam family "Bacterial small subunit ribosomal RNA", at positions 524 to 774 of the family's 1533-position model. The record is from RNAcentral.
UACGGAGGAUGCAAGCGUUAUCCGGAUUUAUUGGGUUUAAAGGGUGCGCAGGUUGUUUGAUAAGUCAGUGGUGAGAGUCUGUCGCUUAACGGUAGGAUUGCCAUUGAUACUGUUGGACUUGAAUAUGGAUGAGGUGGGCGGAAUGUGUAGUGUAGCGGUGAAAUGCAUAGAUAUUACACAGAACACCGAUUGCGAAGGCAGCUUACUAAUCCAUCAUUGACGCUGAGGCACGAAAGCGUGGGGAUCAAACA